AGGGGAGUGGCUCAACGGUAGAGCAACGGUCUCCAAAACCGUUGGUUGCGUGUUCGAAUCGCGUCUCCCCUGCCA
Molecule: transfer RNA, 75 nt
Filed under: Clostridia bacterium
Lineage: Bacteria; Bacillati; Bacillota; Clostridia
Description: tRNA-Trp
Rfam family: tRNA
About the family: Transfer RNA (tRNA) molecules are approximately 80 nucleotides in length. Their secondary structure includes four short double-helical elements and three loops (D, anti-codon, and T loops). Further hydrogen bonds mediate the characteristic L-shaped molecular structure. tRNAs have two regions of fundamental functional importance: the anti-codon, which is responsible for specific mRNA codon recognition, and the 3' end, to which the tRNAs corresponding amino acid is attached (by aminoacyl-tRNA synthetases). tRNAs cope with the degeneracy of the genetic code in two manners: having more than one tRNA (with a specific anti-codon) for a particular amino acid; and 'wobble' base-pairing, i.e. permitting non-standard base-pairing at the 3rd anti-codon position.
Source: RNAcentral